Molecule: ribosomal RNA, 497 nt
Filed under: uncultured bacterium
Lineage: Bacteria
Description: partial 16S ribosomal RNA
Rfam family: Bacterial small subunit ribosomal RNA
Source: RNAcentral
GAUGAACGCUGGCGGCGUGCCUAAUACAUGCAAGUCGAGCGAACGGACGUGACGCUUUUUCCUCUGUUGUUACCGUCGGACGGGUGAGUACCACUUGGAUAACCUCCCUUUAAGACCGUGCUCCCUUCUCUAAACUGUCGCUAAUACCCGAUAAUUUUUACCACCUCAUGGUUCAAAUGUCAAAGACGGCUUUUCUAUCACUUCUUGAUCUAUCCGCGCUGCAUUAGCUAGCUGGUAAGGUAACGGCUUAACAAGGCAACGCUGCAUAGCCGACCUGAGAGGGUGAUCGGCCAAAAUGGAACUGAGAAACGGUCCAAACUCCUACGGGAGGCAGCAGUAGGGAAUCUUCCGCAAUGGGCGAAAGCCUGACGGAGCAACGCCGCGUGAGUGAAGAAGGUGUUCGGAUCGUAAAACUCUGUUAUUAGGGAAGAACGUAUGUGGAAGUAACUGUGCACAUCUUGACGGUAACUAAUCAGAAAGCCACGGCUAACUACGUG